RNAcentral lists this non-coding RNA (788 nucleotides) under Beta vulgaris subsp. vulgaris (sugar beet). Its description in RNAcentral is "rRNA LSU_rRNA_eukarya". It matches the Rfam family "Eukaryotic large subunit ribosomal RNA", at positions 665 to 1455 of the family's 3401-position model. Lineage: Eukaryota; Viridiplantae; Streptophyta; Magnoliopsida; Caryophyllales; Amaranthaceae. The record is from Rfam by way of RNAcentral.
ACCAAGGAGUCUGACAUGUGUGUGAGUCAACAGACAAGUAAACCCAUACGGCGCAGGGAAGUUAAUUGGUGGGAUUUCGUAGCGGGUGCACCGUCGAUCGACCUUGAUAUUUUCAAAAUGGUUCGAGUGUGAGCAUGCCUGUGGGGUUGCGAAAGAUGGUUAUGCCUGAGCGGGGCAAAGCCAGAGGAAACUUUGGUGGAGGCUUGAUGAAGCGAUACUGACGAGCAAAUCAUUCGUCUAACUUGGGUAUAGGGGGGAAGACUAAUCGAAACAUCUAGUAGUUGGUUCCCUCCAAAGUUUGCCUCAUGAUAUCAUAGCUCAUUCGCGAGUUCUAUCAGGUUAAGCCAAUGAUUAGAGGCAUCAGGGGCGCAAUUCCCUCGACCUAUUCUCAAACAUUAAAUAGAUAGGAGGGUGCAACUGCUUCGUUGACCCAAGCCACGGAACCGAGAGCUUCAAGUGGGCCAGUUUUGGUAAUUAGAACUGGUAGUGAUGCUGGAUGAACCAGAAGUCGGGUAAUGGUACCCAACUGCGCUCUAACCUAGAUCCCACGAAGGAUGUUGGUCGAUUAAGACAACAAGGCGGUGGUCAUGGAAGUCGAAAUUCGCUGAGGAGUUUGUAAUAACUAACCUGCCGAAUCAACUAUCCCCGAAAAUGGAUGGCGCUGAAGCGCGCGACCUAUACCCAGCCGUUGGGGCAAGUGUCAUACCCUAAUGAGUAUGAGGGAGCGGCGGUCGCUGCAAAACCUAUGGCGUGAGCCAAGGCGAAGCGGCUGUUGUGCGGAUUUUGAU